CGUGACGGCGCGAGCAGGUGCGAAAGCAGGUCAUAGUGAUCCGGUGGUUCUGAAUGGAAGGGCCAUCGCUCAACGGAUAAAAGGUACUCCGGGGAUAACAGGCUGAUACCGCCCAAGAGUUCAUAUCGACGGCGGUGUUUGGCACCUCGAUGUCGGCUCAUCACAUCCUGGGGCUGAAGUAGGUCCCAAGGGUAUGGCUGUUCGCCAUUUAAAGUGGUACGCGAGCUGGGUUUAGAACGUCGUGAGACAGUUCGGUCCCUAUCUGCCGUGGGCGCUGGAGAACUGAGGGGGGCUGCUCCUAGUACGAGAGGACCGGAGUGGACGCAUCACUGGUGUUCGGGUUGUCAUGCCAAUGGCACUGCCCGGUAGCUAAAUGCGGAAGAGAUAAGUGCUGAAAGCAUCUAAGCACGAAACUUGCCCCGAGAUGAGUUCUCCCUGACCCUUUAAGGGUCCUGAAGGAACGUUGAAGACGACGACGUUGAUAGGCCGGGUGUGUAAGCGCAGCGAUGCGUUGAGCUAACCGGUACUAAUGAACCGUGAGG
This 542-nucleotide ribosomal RNA is filed under the name Escherichia coli. RNAcentral's name for it is "partial 23S ribosomal RNA". It matches the Rfam family "Bacterial large subunit ribosomal RNA", at positions 2380 to 2916 of the family's 2925-position model. RNAcentral also lists the same sequence under 3 other names. The record is from RNAcentral. Lineage: Bacteria; Pseudomonadati; Pseudomonadota; Gammaproteobacteria; Enterobacterales; Enterobacteriaceae.